Long non-coding RNA from Chinchilla lanigera (long-tailed chinchilla), 1684 nucleotides. RefSeq lists it as uncharacterized. The record is from RefSeq and is a predicted model, not a curated record. NCBI's taxonomy places the organism in Eukaryota, Metazoa, Chordata, Mammalia, Rodentia, Chinchillidae. The transcript is spliced from 4 exons.
UUCAUGAAGAAUUCUUCCCUACUGCACAUCAAAGGUUAGCACUUGAAACUUUGACAGCCAAAGGAGAGAAUAUCCCAUGGUGCAUUCCAGUCAAGUAAUACAAAUAGGAAUUAGUGGGAAGAUAAUGUAGGAGGUGGAGGAAAAUUGAGAGAAUUUAUAUGGACCUUUACCACGAAACAAAAUACUUGAGGUUGGGGAAUACAAAAAGAAAAGAGCUUCAUUUAUUCUCACAAGUUUCGAAGCUGUCAGCUCAAGACAGGACAGUCUUGUCUGUUCAGCCUCUGCUGUGGGCGACAUGGCAGAGGGCAUCACAAUGGUCAGAACUCAUGAAGAGGAGCUCACACAAUGAGACUGGAAGCCAGAAACAGAGAGGCACCUGACUCACCCUUUUAUAACAUCCAACUCUGAAGACAAGUAAUUGGGUCCUUUACCUCUUCUGAGGACAGUACCCCCAAUGAUCUCCCACUAAGCCCUGCCUCUUGAGGUUCCUAGCAUCAUACUGAGCACCAGAUUUUCAACACACAAACCUUUGGAAUACUAUGUCCAAAGCAAAGAGAGCUGGCUUUGGGGAGGAGGAGUAAUGCAGAACCCACUGACACCUCUUCCAUGUGAACUAAGCUGACUGAGGAGCCCGAGCCCAGGAAGGUGAACCCAGGAAGGAAGGUGAACCCAGGGAGGAAAGUGAACCCAGGAAGGAAGGUGAACCCAGGAAGGAAGACUGCCAAACUCACUGAGCUGCUCUGACUUCAGCAGUCAAGAGAGGGUCAUUAGAAUUGACUCAACAGCAGAAGACCAGUGAUCGCAGAAGUGGAACACCAGUAAGGUGCACCUUGCAAACUACAGCCAGGGGACACACUAAUACCUGGAACUUCUCUACCUAACCCUGUGGGGACUCAGCUUAGAGGUGGAUUGCUGCAGGGAGGUCAUGAGAAGGGCCGAGUGAACUUUCAUCAUGGAGCUCACCGGUGGGACUCUACUUCCCAGCAUGAGGCAUAGGCUUAUUUGCUUCAGGAAGAAAUAAUAAGAAAUUUGUCCUUUGAUGUCAGGAAGAGAUAAGGAAAAAGAAAACUAAGAAAGAAAGAGAGAAGAAGAAAAUGGACUAAAGCUGAUAGUAGUAACUUACAAGUUGCUACAAUUUAGUUCAUGAUCUCGCUUUGAAAACCACUGCUGGAGUCUUGAUUUGCACUGUUACAUUAAUUCCUCACAAAAUCCCCACGUCUUAGAUGUUAUUAUCUUGUUUGGCUGAUGAGGGCGUCCAACCCACAGAGGUGGGAAACUGUUCCCACACCACACAAAACUCCACUUUGCCUAACUCCGCAAUACCCUUGAAACUUUCCUCUGACACUAGAUUCUCAAAAUAUUUCAGAGAAACCUCCAACAGGUCAUUGAAUGCAGAGAACUACAGCAACAACCAUCAGGACUAAUUUUAGUUUAUUUCCUGAGAAGAAGACUGAACACUUUCUUUGUCCUGGAAGCUUACAGACAAAAGUCAAUCUUCUUGUGAUAGCUAGUGAGCCACUCAGGGAGACAAGAAAGGCUCAGAGUGUGAGGAAAUUUCUAGUGGAAAGGUCUGACACCACUACCUGGCCUGGUCAUUGACUAAGAGCAUGCUUGAGUUCAGUAACUAUUCCAGUAGCUUGGUAAGAUCUAAAAAAGAAGAAUAAAAGCAAUGGGUACACCUGAA